GCAAUUUAAAGAAGGAGUUGUAUAGUCAGUUCCACAAUGUUGGACAUGAAACGAAGCUUUGUGUCUAUACCUGCAUAUUCCUGGCACUUCUGGACAAUGACUAGGAAGAUUAACCAUGCAAGAAACAGUA
This 130-nucleotide small nucleolar RNA is filed under the name Dipodomys ordii (Ord's kangaroo rat). RNAcentral describes it as "Small nucleolar RNA SNORA73 family (ENSDORG00000022310.2)". The record is from RNAcentral. Lineage: Eukaryota; Metazoa; Chordata; Mammalia; Rodentia; Heteromyidae.